Molecule: long non-coding RNA, 456 nt
Organism: Prinia subflava (tawny-flanked prinia)
Lineage: Eukaryota; Metazoa; Chordata; Aves; Passeriformes; Cisticolidae
Exons: 3
Source: RefSeq, a predicted model, not a curated record
AGGCUCUAUUCAGCCUGGGCAUCUUUGCUGAGGGAUAAAAAUCUGUGCAGUUUGGCUCUGUUCAGCCUGUGCAUCUUUGCUGAGAGAUAAAAAUCUGUGCAGUUUGGUGACAGGAUUGAACUCCCCUCACUGGAUGCUGGAACCCCAGGGCUCCUUUUGAUCUCCAAUUUAUCACUUGGGCAUCCAAUUCUGGCUGGAAAGAGACACCUUUAUUAAUUAGAAUGGACUCAAAAUGAAGAUUUCUCUUAUUUUCUUUAGCUAACUGGAGAAUUCCACAGUAACAUUGCUUUGUUUGCUUUUUCCUCUAAGUGGAAUUCUUGACAUCAUCACUGUGGGUCUGUUCUCCCACAAAAAUCAAACCUCAGGACCUUUGUUGAUUGUGCCUUAAUCUCUAUUUUUGUUCUUUCACCCCUCCCACCCAAGCAAGCAAAACUAAAAAUCACAGUGAAUGUCAAA